Periophthalmus magnuspinnatus is the source of this 1227-nucleotide long non-coding RNA. RefSeq lists it as uncharacterized. Lineage: Eukaryota; Metazoa; Chordata; Actinopteri; Gobiiformes; Gobiidae. The record is from RefSeq and is a predicted model, not a curated record. The transcript is spliced from 5 exons.
GAAAGUGAGCUCUGCGUUCAUUUCAAAGUGUCGGUUCAGUUGUGGGCAUGCCCAGUAGACUUCGCCGUGUAGAGUGUAGCCUGAACAAAAAAAACAAAAAAAAAUCUUGUCUCUAAAUUUGAACAAGAGCGAGAGAGAGGAGAGUGGAGUUUUGUGCCGCUGCUGUUGUAGUGAAAACGUGGAGAGGAGACGCACAGAAGAAACCUGCAAGAGGAGAAUUAACAACAACCUAAAGCUUACUCUGUCGUCCAGUAACGCAACCGGCGAAACGGCAGAAACAACUACUUCAAAACGCAGCCUGGACGGAGUUGAAGUGUGAAAUUUGAGACCAGUCCUGUGUUGACUCUGCUGUCCAGGGAGGAACAACAAUACGAAGAGCAGCACAGUCACCCUGCAGUAUUUCGUCAUUGGAGAAACGUCACUACUCAACUCUGAAGACUUGUGGAUAUUCACAAAGGCUGGAGGAACAGCGGACACGAGCAGGCAUCCAGGUCCGAAAGGCUGGGAGGGGAGAGGCAAAGGAAAAGCAGAGGAUUGAUGGAACAAACUCGCUCUAAGGAUGCUGAAUCACAAAUUAGAAGACCUCGUUUUUGGAUUUUACUGGAAACAAAAAACCUGCAAUGAACUUCAAAACGCCAAAAACACUUCUGAUAAACGUUUAAUCUGAAAUACCUGCCACUUCCUGUUGAAACUGUUGUACUAUGGGUGGUCAAUUUGAUGUUUUAAAACUCUAUAAACCUACUUCACAACGUGUUGAUGCAUUAUUUUCUACAGUCUGAACCUUCCUACUCAAAUCACACAACUUCGACUGUCAUCUUUUGCUUUUCAACACUUUGUAUCUCAAACGCAGGACUAAACGGCUCCUGUUCACACAAUGGGUCUGUAAAUAGAGGACGCCUGUUUUGUUAAUGUAAGUGUGUGUAUCCUUUUGUGUUUGGGUUUGUAUUUAUGUUGUACUUUUAUGUGCUGGAAGUGACUUGACAAAAUCAAACUCUGCAGAACAAAGGACUGUCCCCAGAGCAGAGUUUAAGUUAUAACUCACAGUAUUUACUAUUAUUUUGUCUUAUUCUAUUUAUAACUGGGUAGUCACAUUGUCAAGUCAUAUGUUGUUGUAUUUUUAAAUGUAAUAAACUUUUUACGACUCCUGCAAAUCAGACAAGUGUAUUUUUAAUGUGUGUUUCUGUGUUUCUGCUCACAAAGUGGCCUGUGUCUAAAGCUCACAAUAAU